This 590-nucleotide ribosomal RNA is filed under the name uncultured bacterium. RNAcentral's name for it is "bacterial SSU rRNA". It matches the Rfam family "Bacterial small subunit ribosomal RNA", at positions 338 to 944 of the family's 1533-position model. The record is from RNAcentral.
CCUACGGGAGGCAGCAGUGGGGAAUUUUCCGCAAUGGGCGAAAGCCUGACGGAGCAAUACCGCGUGAGGGAGGAAGGCUCUUGGGUUGUAAACCUCUUUUCUCAGGGAAGAACAAAUGACGGUACCUGAGGAAUAAGCAUCGGCUAACUCCGUGCCAGCAGCCGCGGUAAUACGGAGGAUGCAAGCGUUAUCCGGAAUGAUUGGGCGUAAAGCGUCCGCAGGUGGGUGUUCAAGUCUGCUGUCAAAGGUCGGGGCUCAACUCCGUUAAGGCAGUGGAAACUGAACAGCUAGAGUGCGGUAGGGGUAGAGGGAAUUCCCAGUGUAGCGGUGAAAUGCGUAGAGAUUGGGAAGAACACCGGUGGCGAAAGCGCUCUACUGGACCGCAACUGACACUCAGGGACGAAAGCUAGGGGAGCGAAUGGGAUUAGAUACCCCAGUAGUCCUAGCCGUAAACGAUGGAUACUAGGUGUUGCUGGUAUCGACCCCAGCAGUAUCGUAGCUAACGCGUUAAGUAUCCCGCCUGGGGGUACGCGCGCAAGCGNGAACACAANAGAUGAGCGNGAGACGNGCGACGACGACGACGAGGAGAG